GGGGGGGGGGGGGGGGGGGGGGGGGGGGGGGGGUGGGAGGGGAAGGCCCCGUUGGGGGUAGUCGGGUGGCGAACGGGUGAGGAACGCGUGAGUAACCUGCGCUUGACUUCGGGGUAACGUCAGGGAACUGGGGCGAAUACCGGAUAGGAAUCCUUGCUGCAUGGGGGGGGUUGGAAAGCUUCGGCGGUUUUGGAUGGACUCGCGGCGUAUCAGCUUGUUGGUGGGGUAGUGGCUUACCAAGGCUUUGACGGGUAGCCGGCCUGAGAGGGCGACCGGCCACAUUGGGACUGAGAUACGGCCCAGACUCCUACGGGAGGCAGCAGUGGGGAAUAUUGCACAAUGGGCGGAAGCCUGAUGCAGCAACGCCGCGUGCGGGAUGACGGCCUUCGGGUUGUAAACCGCUUUCAGCAGGGGCGAAGCUUGUGGUGACGGUACCUGCAGAAGAAGCACCGGCUAACUACGUG
This 464-nucleotide ribosomal RNA is filed under the name uncultured bacterium. RNAcentral's name for it is "partial 16S ribosomal RNA". It matches the Rfam family "Bacterial small subunit ribosomal RNA", at positions 38 to 507 of the family's 1533-position model. The record is from RNAcentral.